AAUGCCAAAUUGCUUACCAAAAAGCAUGAUAUGAAGUUAUAUCCUCCUAACAAUCUAAUAGCAUCUUAAGCAGACCUGUCGUUAUCAGUGGGCCACUGGACAGGGUUGUGGGGCUGAUGCUUUCUUUAUGGUUCCUCUACAGGAUAUGGUGCCUGUCAUAGUUGAUUACUGCCUUCUGCUGCAGCGAAAGGAUCUUUUAUUUAGUCAGAUGUAUGAUAAAUUAAGUGAGAAUUCAGUGGCCAAAGGAGUAUUUUUGGAGUGCCUUGAGCCAUAUAUUUUAAGUGAUAAAUUGGUGGGAAUCACACCCCAAGUAAUGAAAGACUUGAUUGUUCAUUUCCAAGAUAAAAAAUUAAUGGAAAAUGUGGAAGCGCUCAUUGUACAUAUGGAUAUCACCAGCCUAGAUAUUCAGCAGGUAGUUCUCAUGUGUUGGGAAAAUCGUUUAUAUGAUGCUAUGAUCUAUGUCUACAACAGAGGCAUGAAUGAAUUUAUUAGUCCAAUGGAGAAACUUUUCAGAGUCAUUGCUCCUCCUCUGAAUGCAGGAAAAACGCUAACAGAUGAACAAGUUGUUAUGGGCAAUAAGCUUCUUGUAUAUAUUAGCUGUUGUCUAGCAGGUCGUGCCUAUCCCCUUGGUGACAUCCCUGAAGAUCUUGUUCCCUUGGUUAAAAACCAGGUUUUUGAAUUUCUAAUUCGCCUGCAUUCAGCAGAGGCUUCUCCUGAGGAAGAAAUCUAUCCUUACAUUCGGACUUUGCUACAUUUUGACACAAGAGAAUUUCUUAAUGUAUUGGCACUGACUUUUGAAGACUUUAAAAAUGACAAGCAAGCUGUGGAAUAUCAACAGCGAAUUGUGGAUAUUUUGUUGAAAGUUAUGGUGGAGAAUUCAGACUUUACCCCCUCACAAGUAGGAUGUCUCUUUACCUUCCUUGCUCGGCAGCUUGCAAAGCCUGACAACACCUUGUUUGUAAACAGAACACUUUUUGAUCAGGUCCUUGAAUUCCUUUGUAGUCCUGACGAUGACUCCCGACACUCUGAAAGACAGCAGGUCCUUUUAGAGUUGCUGCAGGCUGGAGGCAUAGUUCAAUUUGAAGAGAGUCGACUCAUCCGGAUGGCAGAAAAAGCUGAGUUCUAUCAAAUUUGUGAAUUUAUGUAUGAAAGAGAACACCAAUAUGACAAAAUUAUUGAUUGCUACUUACGUGACCCUCUGAGAGAGGAAGAAGUCUUUAAUUACAUUCACGAUAUCUUAUCCAUUCCCGGACACAGUGCAGAGGAGAAGCAGUCUGUAUGGCAGAAAGCAAUGGAUCAUAUUGAGGAACUUGUGUCCCUGAAGCCUUGUAAAGCUGCGGAGCUGGUUGCCACCCACUUUUCUGGACAUAUUGAAACGGUUAUUAAAAAACUUCAGAACCAGGUUUUGCUUUUCAAAUUUUUGAGGAGUCUUCUUGACCCAAGGGAAGGUAUUCAUAUAAAUCAAGAAUUACUGCAAAUAUCUCCUUGUAUCACAGAGCAGUUCAUUGAGCUGUUGUGUCAGUUCAGCCCAUCCCAAGUUAUAGAGACUCUGCAAGUCCUUGAGUGCUACCGUCUGGAAGAAACUAUUCAGAUUACUCAGAAGUAUCAACUUCAUGAAGUCACUGCUUAUCUAUUGGAAAAGAAAGGAGAUAUUCAUGGUGCCUUCCUAAUAAUGUUAGAGAGACUACAAAGCAAACUUCAAGAGAUAACACAUCAAGGUGAAAAUACCAAAGAGGAUCCCUCAUUGAAGGAUGUUGAAGAUACUAUGGUGGAGACCAUUGCUCUUUGCCAGAGAAAUUCACAUAAUUUGAACCAGCAGCAACGUGAGGCACUUUGGUUUCCAUUAUUGGAGGCAAUGAUGGCCCCUCAGAAGCUGUCCAGUUCAGCCAUUCCUCAUCUACACUCUGAAGCUCUGAAAUCUUUGACCAUGCAAGUUUUAAAUAGCAUGGCAGCAUUUAUUGCCCUUCCAUCAAUCUUGCAAAGAAUCUUACAGGAUCCAGUUUAUGGAAAAGGAAAACUUGGAGAAAUCCAGGGACUUAUCUUGGGAAUGUUAGAUACCUUUAACUAUGAACAAACCCUGCUGGAAACAACAACUAGCCUUCUAAACCAAGAUCUCCACUGGUCAUUGUGUAACCUGAGAGCUUCGGUCACCAGAGGACUGAAUCCCAAACAAGAUUACUGCUCUAUAUGUUUGCAGCAGUACAAGAGACGCCAAGAAAUGGUUGAUGAAAUUAUUGUCUUUAGCUGUGGCCAUUUGUAUCACUCAUUCUGCCUACAAAACAAAGAAUGCACUGUGGAAUUUGAGGGCCAAACAAGAUGGACAUGCUACAAAUGCAGUUCAAGUAACAAAGUAGGAAAACUCAGUGAAAAUUCAUCUGAAAUUAAAAAGGGAAGGAUAACGCCAUCACAGGUAAAAAUGUCUCCAUCGUAUCAUCAGUCCAAAGGGGAUCCCACUGCUAAAAAGGGAACCUCAGAACCUGUUCUGGAUCCACAGCAAAUCCAAGCAUUUGAUCAGCUUUGCCGUCUCUACCGAGGAAGCUCCAGGCUGGCUCUCCUCACGGAACUCUCCCAGAAUCGCAGCAGCGAGAGCUAUAGGCCAUUCAGUGGCUCGCAGAAUGCUCCUGCUUUCAACAGCAUCUUCCAGAAUGAGAACUUCCAGCUACAGCUCAUUCCCCCACCUGUGACUGAGGAUUGAUGACUCCGUGGAGCCUGGCCCAGGAGAACCAGAGAUGAUCCCAAGGCAGCUGGGGAGAGGCCCCGCCUCUGGUGGGCUUGGCCUCCACCGCCUCCCACGCUUCUGAGAAGAGGCUCCAAAUUGGGCUCCUGUGCCCAGAGCGUCCACAGCACCAUUCCCAGUGUAGACUCCCAGUCUUCUCCACAUUGUUGUCAUGGCGUCAGUUCACCAGACUCAUUGAUUUUGUUUUGCUUGUUAAGCAAAGGAAUGUCACAUACCUCUGUCCAGCUUUUUAGGAAAUACAUUU
RNAcentral lists this small RNA (2981 nucleotides) under Pongo abelii (Sumatran orangutan). Its description in RNAcentral is "retained intron". Lineage: Eukaryota; Metazoa; Chordata; Mammalia; Primates; Hominidae. The record is from RNAcentral.